AUACGGAGGAUCCGAGCGUUAUCCGGAUUUAUUGGGUUUAAAGGGUGCGCAGGCGGGAGAUUAAGUCGGCGGUGAAAUUUUGCAGCUCCACUGUAAAAGGGGCUUCGAAAAUGGUUUUCUUGAGUGUAGAUGAAGUAGGCGGAAUUUUUUGUGUUACGGUGAAAUGCCUUGAUUUCCCGAGGAACGCCGAUUGCGCAGGCAGCUUACUAAACUACUACUGACGCUCAGGCACGAAGGCGUGGGGAUCAAACAGGAUUAGAUACCCUGGUAGUCCACGCAGUAAACGAUGAUUACUAGCUGUUUGCGAUACAAUGUAAGCGGCUGAGCGAAAGCGUUAAGUAAUCCACCUGGGGAGUACGUUCGCAAGAAUGAAACUCAAAGGAAUUGACGGGG
RNAcentral lists this ribosomal RNA (393 nucleotides) under uncultured bacterium. RNAcentral's name for it is "partial 16S ribosomal RNA". It matches the Rfam family "Bacterial small subunit ribosomal RNA", at positions 523 to 918 of the family's 1533-position model. The record is from RNAcentral.